AGGCUCAGACUUCACCCAUAGUU
RNAcentral lists this small nuclear RNA (23 nucleotides) under Arabidopsis thaliana (thale cress). RNAcentral describes it as "snRNA_07103". The record is from RNAcentral. Lineage: Eukaryota; Viridiplantae; Streptophyta; Magnoliopsida; Brassicales; Brassicaceae.